GAAGUCGCUGAGCCUAACCGCAAGGAGGCAGGCGCCGAGGGUGGGAUUGGUAACUGGAGGCG
Molecule: ribosomal RNA, 62 nt
Filed under: uncultured bacterium
Lineage: Bacteria
Description: partial 16S ribosomal RNA
Source: RNAcentral